Molecule: small nucleolar RNA, 138 nt
Organism: Tachyglossus aculeatus (Australian echidna)
Lineage: Eukaryota; Metazoa; Chordata; Mammalia; Monotremata; Tachyglossidae
Source: RefSeq, a predicted model, not a curated record
CCCCUUUCAGGAUGGCACCUGGAGAGUUUCCAGUACUCUACCAGUCUCGGUUUUGGGAGGGAAAGUUGAGCACCGGUAUACCCAUUCCAUUCCUAGCUUGAGCAGUGGCUAACGAGUGGAAGGCAAUCUGCUACAAUC